GGAGGGUGCAAGCGUUAAUCGGAAUUACUGGGCGUAAAGCGCACGCAGGCGGUCUGUCAAGUCGGAUGUGAAAUCCCCGGGCUCAACUUGGGAACUGCAUUCGAAACUGGCAGGCUAGAGUCUUGUAGAGGGGGGUAGAAUUCCAGGUGUAGCGGUGAAAUGCGUAGAGAUCUGGAGGAAUACCGGUGGCGAAGGCGGCCCCCUGGACAAAGACUGACGCUCAGGUGCGAAAGCGUGGGGAGCAAACAGGAUUAGAUACCCUGGUAGUCCACGCCGUAAACGAUGUCGAUUUGGAGGUUGUGCCCUUGAGGCGUGGCUUCCGGAGCUAACGCGUUAAAUCGACCGCCUGGGGAGUACGGCCGCAAGGUUA
RNAcentral lists this ribosomal RNA (370 nucleotides) under uncultured bacterium. RNAcentral's name for it is "bacterial SSU rRNA". It matches the Rfam family "Bacterial small subunit ribosomal RNA", at positions 527 to 896 of the family's 1533-position model. The record is from RNAcentral.